UUUAGAGUUGAAACUCUAAUACUGACCAACUGGGGAAAAGUUCAGUUUAGGGUUUAAAACCCUAAUGCUGACUGAAGAAAAGUUCAGUUUAGGGUUUAAAACCCUAAUGCUGGCUGAAUGGAAAAAGUUCAGUUUAAGGUUUAAAACCCUAAUGCUGACUAAAAGGAAAAAUUCAGUUUAGGGUUUAAAACCCUAAUGCUGAUUGCAUUGAAAAGCUCAGUUUAGGGUUUAAAACCCUAAUGCUGGCUGAAUGGAAAAAGUUCAGUUUAGGGUUUAAAACCCUAAUGCUGACUAAAGGAAAAAUUCAGUUUAGGGUUUAAAACCAUAAUGCUGAUUGCAUGGAAAAGCUCAGUUUAGGGUUUAAAACCCUAGUGCUGGCUGAAUGGAAAAAAGUUCAGUUUAGGGUUUAAAACCCUAAUGCUGACUAAAAGGAAAAAUUCAGUUUAGGGUUUAAAACCCUAAUGCUGAUUGCAUGGAAAAGCUCAGUUUAGGGUUUAAAACCCUAAUGCUGGCUGAAUGGAAAAAAGUUCAGUUUAGGGUUUAAAACCCUAAUGCUGACUAAAGGAAAAAUUCAGUUUAGGGUUUAAAACCCUAAUGCUGAUUGCAUGGAAAAGCUCAGUUUAGGGUUUAAAGCCCUAAUGCUGGCUGAAUGGAAAAAAGUUCAGUUUAGGGUUUAAAACCCUAAUGCUGACUAAAGGAAAAAUUCAGUUUAGGAUUUAAAACCCUAAUGCUGAUUGCACGGAAAAGCUCAGUUUAGGGUUUAAAACCCUAAUGCUGGCUGAAUGGAAAAAAGUUCAGUUUAGGGUUUAAAACCCUAAUGCUGAUUAAAGGAAAAAUUAAGUGUAGGGGUUUAAAACCCUAAUGCUGAUUGCAUGGAAAAGCUCAGUUUAGGGUUUAAAACUCUAAUGCUGGCUGAAAGGAAAAAUUCAGUUUAGGGUUUAAAACCCUAAUGCUGAUUGCAUGGAAAAGCUCAGCUUAGGGUUUAAAACCCUAAUGUUGGCU
This 1002-nucleotide long non-coding RNA is filed under the name Nicotiana tabacum (common tobacco). RNAcentral describes it as "long non-coding RNA (NTAB_LNC004756)". The record is from RNAcentral. Lineage: Eukaryota; Viridiplantae; Streptophyta; Magnoliopsida; Solanales; Solanaceae.